AUUGAACGCUGGCGGCAGGCCUAACACAUGCAAGUCGAACGGUAACAGGAAGAAGCUUGCUUCUUUGCUGACGAGUGGCGGACGGGUGAGUCAUGUCUGGGAAACUGCCUGAUGGAGGGGGAUAACUACUGGAAACGGUAGCUAAUACCGCAUAACGUCGCAAGACCAAAGAGGGGGACCUUCGGGCCUCUUGCCUUCGGAUGUGCCCAGAUGGGAUUAGCUAGUAGGUGGGGUAACGGCUCACCUAGGCGACGAUCCCUAGCUGGUCUGAGAGGAUGACCAGCCACACUGGAACUGAGACACGGUCCAGACUCCUACGGGAGGCAGCAGUGGGGAAUAUUGCACAAUGGGCGCAAGCCUGAUGCAGCAAUGCCGCGUGUAUGAAGAAGGCCUUCGGGUUGUAAAGUACUUUCAGCGGGGAGGAAGGGAGUAAAGUUAAUACCUGUGCUCAUUGACGUUACCCGCAGAAGAAGCACCGGCUAACUCCGUG
Molecule: ribosomal RNA, 490 nt
Filed under: uncultured bacterium
Lineage: Bacteria
Description: partial 16S ribosomal RNA
Rfam family: Bacterial small subunit ribosomal RNA
Source: RNAcentral